CGCAUCUGUGCAUGCAGCAUAUCAAUAAGCGGAGGAAAAGAAACUAACAAGGAUUCCCUUAGUAACGGCGAGUGAAGCGGGAAGAGCUCAAAUUUGAAAUCUUAAAGGUUUUCCCUUGACGAAUUGUAGUUUAAAGAAGUGUUUUCUGUUGAAGUUUUGGUAAAAGUUCUUUGGAAUAGGACAUCAUAGAGGGUGAGAAUCCCGUAUUUGACCAUUAUUUUCAAGCUGUGUGAUACACUUUCAAAGAGUCGGAUUGUUUGGGAAUGCAGUCCAAAAUGGGUGGUAAAUUUCAUCUAAAGCUAAAUAUUGGCGAGAGACCGAUAGCGAACAAGUACCGUGAGGGAAAGAUGAAAAGAACUUUGAAAAGAGAGUUAAACAGUACGUGAAAUUGUCAAAAGGGAAGCGUUUGACACCAGUGUUGUUUUCUCGAAAAUCAAUUAAAAAGAGUUUGAUUUUGUUGUGUAUUGACCUUAACAGCUUGCAUUUCAAUUUUCUUGCUUUUUUUAAUGCACUUUUCGUUUAACAAGUCAACAUCAGUUUCUUUUGUUGUAAAAAGGUCAUUGGAAGGUGGCUUUCUUUUCGGAGAAAGUGUUUAUAGCCUUUGACUCCUGCAAUCGGAGAGACUGAGGUCUGCAGCGUAGAUCCUUCGGGGUUAGAUACAUUUGUGCUAAGUUAUAGCUUUUUAUAGACAACUUGUUGACUAUGAUUAGUCUUGUAGCUUACUCGCUUAUGCUAUUUUACCUACGCUUAGGAUGUUGAUGUGAUACUGCGAGCA
Molecule: ribosomal RNA, 775 nt
Filed under: uncultured Neocallimastigales
Lineage: Eukaryota; Fungi; Neocallimastigomycota; Neocallimastigomycetes; Neocallimastigales
Description: partial large subunit ribosomal RNA
Rfam family: Eukaryotic large subunit ribosomal RNA
Source: RNAcentral